UGCAAGUCGAGCGAACCAAUAAGAAGCUUGCUUUUUGUUGGUUAGCGGCGGACGGGUGAGUAACACGUGGGUAACCUGCCUGUAAGACCGGGAUAACUCCGGGAAACCGGUGCUAAUACCGGAUAGAUUAUCUUUCCGCCUGGAGAGAUAAGGAAAGAUGGCUUUUGCCAUCACUUACAGAUGGGCCCGCGGCGCAUUAGCUAGUUGGUGAGGUAACGGCUCACCAAGGCGACGAUGCGUAGCCGACCUGAGAGGGUGAUCGGCCACACUGGGACUGAGACACGGCCCAGACUCCUACGGGAGGCAGCAGUAGGGAAUCUUCCGCAAUGGACGAAAGUCUGACGGAGCAACGCCGCGUGAGCGAAGAAGGUCUUCGGAUCGUAAAGCUCUGUUGUUAGGGAAGAACAAGUAUCGGAGGAAAUGCCGGUACCUUGACGGUACCUGACGAGAAAGCCACGGCUAACUACGUGCCAGCAGCCGCGGUAAUACGUAGGUGGCAAGCGUUGUCCGGAUUUAUUGGGCGUAAAGCGCGCGCAGGCGGUCCUUUAAGUCUGAUGUGAAAUCUUGCGGCUCAACCGCAAGCGGUCAUUGGAAACUGGGGGACUUGAGUGCAGAAGAGGAAAGCGGAAUUCCACGUGUAGCGGUGAAAUGCGUAGAGAUGUGGAGGAACACCAGUGGCGAAGGCGGCUUUCUGGUCUGUAACUGACGCUGA
This 712-nucleotide ribosomal RNA is filed under the name Bacillus sp. MN-04. RNAcentral's name for it is "bacterial SSU rRNA". It matches the Rfam family "Bacterial small subunit ribosomal RNA", at positions 56 to 749 of the family's 1533-position model. Lineage: Bacteria; Bacillati; Bacillota; Bacilli; Caryophanales; Bacillaceae. The record is from RNAcentral.